RNAcentral lists this transfer RNA (75 nucleotides) under Richelia sp. SL_2_1. RNAcentral describes it as "tRNA-Trp". It matches the Rfam family "tRNA". From Rfam's summary of the family: Transfer RNA (tRNA) molecules are approximately 80 nucleotides in length. Their secondary structure includes four short double-helical elements and three loops (D, anti-codon, and T loops). Lineage: Bacteria; Bacillati; Cyanobacteriota; Cyanophyceae; Nostocales; Nostocaceae. The record is from RNAcentral.
AGGAAUGUAAUUUUAACUGGAUAAAACACUCGACUCCAAAUCGAGAAGAUGCGGGUUCAAAUCCUACCAUUCCUG